UAAUCACUUGUCUCUUAAAUGGGGACCUGUAUGAAUGGCUUUUCACUCUUUCACUGUCUCUCUUCCCUCCCUCCUAAUCUUCUAAUCACGUGAAGAAGCGUGAACGAAUAAGAAAGACGAGAAGACCCUGUCGAGCUUAAGCUAACCCUGAAAUAUCGUCUACCUUUUCUCUUAGAAAGAGGUAAAUUUCAGAUGAAGUUUUGGUUGGGGCAACCGUGGAGAAAAAGAAUCCUCCAGUUAGUUAGGAAGAAAACCUUUCACCUAAAAAAUUUAGCGACCCAGUUACUCUGGUAAACGGAAAAAGUUACCGCAGGGAUAACAGCGUUAUCUUCUCUAAGAGCCCAUAUUGACGAGAAGGAUUGCGACCUCGAUGUUGGAUUGGGGUAACC
RNAcentral lists this ribosomal RNA (389 nucleotides) under Apostichopus japonicus (Japanese sea cucumber). RNAcentral's name for it is "partial 16S ribosomal RNA". It matches the Rfam family "Bacterial large subunit ribosomal RNA", at positions 1962 to 2547 of the family's 2925-position model. Lineage: Eukaryota; Metazoa; Echinodermata; Holothuroidea; Aspidochirotida; Stichopodidae. The record is from RNAcentral.